CCCCAUAGCUUAAUUGGCAAAGCAGCUCCCUCUUAAGGAGAUGACUCCAGGUUCGAGUCCUGGUGGGG
RNAcentral lists this transfer RNA (68 nucleotides) under Parcubacteria group bacterium CG11_big_fil_rev_8_21_14_0_20_39_14. Its description in RNAcentral is "tRNA-Lys". It matches the Rfam family "tRNA". Rfam says of the family: Transfer RNA (tRNA) molecules are approximately 80 nucleotides in length. The record is from RNAcentral.